GAUGAACGCUGGCGGCGUGCUUAACACAUGCAAGUCGAACGGAAAGGCCCAAGCUUGCUUGGGUACUCGAGUGGCGAACGGGUGAGUAACACGUGGGUGAUCUGCCCUGCACUUCGGGAUAAGCCUGGGAAACUGGGUCUAAUACCGGAUAGGACCACGUCUUGGAUGUUGUGGUGGAAAGUUUUUUCGGUGUGGGCUGAGCUCGCGGCCUAUCAGCUUGUUGGUGGGGUAUUGGCCUACCAAGGCGUCGACGGGUAGCCGGCCGGCGAGGGGGUACGGCCACAUGGGGACUGAGAUACGGCCCAGACUCCUAAGGGAGGCAGCAGGGGGGAAUAUUGCACAAUGGGCGCAAGCCUGAGGCAGCGAGGCCGCGUGGGGGAUGACGGCCGUAGGGUUGUAAACUCCUAUAGCUAGGGAAGAAGCGUUUUUGUGACGGUACCUGGAGAAGAAGCACCGGCUAACUACGUG
Molecule: ribosomal RNA, 468 nt
Filed under: uncultured bacterium
Lineage: Bacteria
Description: partial 16S ribosomal RNA
Rfam family: Bacterial small subunit ribosomal RNA
Source: RNAcentral